GACGAACGCUGGCGGCGUGCUUAACACAUGCAAGUCGAGCGGUAAGGCCUCUUCGGGGGUACACGAGCGGCGAACGGGUGAGUAACACGUGGGUGACCUGCCCUCAGCUCUGGGAUAAGCCUGGGAAACUGGGUCUAAUACCGGAUAUGACCUUUCCUCGCAUGGGGUUUGGUGGAAAGUUUUUUCGGCUGGGGAUGGGCCCGCGGCCUAUCAGCUUGUUGGUGGGGUGAUGGCCUACAAAGGCGACGACGGGUAGCCGGCCUGAGAGGGCGACCGGCCAAACUGGGACUGGGACACGUCCCGAACUCCUAGGGGAGGCGGCAGGGGGAAAAGUUGGGAAGUGGGCGGAAGCCUGACGCGGCGAGGCCGCGGGGGGGAUGACGGCCUUCGGGUUGUAAACCUCUUUCGACCCCGACGAAUUGGACGGUAGGGGUAGAAGAAGCACCGGCCAACUACGU
RNAcentral lists this ribosomal RNA (458 nucleotides) under uncultured bacterium. Its description in RNAcentral is "partial 16S ribosomal RNA". It matches the Rfam family "Bacterial small subunit ribosomal RNA", at positions 28 to 506 of the family's 1533-position model. The record is from RNAcentral.